UUAGCGACUAAGCGUACACGGUGGAUGCCCUGGCAGUCAGAGGCGAUGAAGGACGUGCUAAUCUGCGAAAAGCGCCGGCGAGGUGAUAUGAACCUUUGACCCGGCGAUGUCCGAAUGGGGAAACCCAGUGCAAUUCCGUUGCACUAUCGUUAACUGAAUACAUAGGUUAACGAGGCGAACCGGGGGAACUGAAACAUCUAAGUACCCCGAGGAAAAGAAAUCAACCGAGAUUCCCCCAGUAGCGGCGAGCGAACGGGGAGCAGCCCGGAGUCUGAAUCAGCUUGUGUGUUAGUGGAACGGUCUGGAAAGUCCGACGGUACAGGGUGAUAGUCCCGUACACGGAAGCACACAGGUUGUGAACUCGAAGAGUAGGGCGGGACACGUGGUAUCCUGUCUGAAUAUGGGGGGACCAUCCUCCAAGGCUAAAUACUCCUGACUGACCGAUAGUGAACCAGUACCGUGAGGGAAAGGCGAAAAGAACCCCGGCGAGGGGAGUGAAAAAGAACCUGAAACCGUGUACGUACAAGCAGUGGGAGCCUCUUUAUGGGGUGACUGCGUACCUUUUGUAUAAUGGGUCAGCGACUUAUAUUCUGUAGCAAGGUUAACCGUAUAGGGGAGCCGAAGGGAAACCGAGUCUUAACUGGGCGUUAAGUUGCAGGGUAUAAACCCGAAACCCGGUGAUCUAGCCAUGGGCAGGUUGAAGGUUGGGUAACACUAACCGGAGGACCGAACCGACUAAUGUUGAAAAAUUAGCGGAUGACCUGUGGCUGGGGGUGAAAGGCCAAUCAAACCGGGAGAUAGCUGGUUCUCCCCGAAAGCUAUUUAGGUAGCGCCUCGUGAACUCAUCUUCGGGGGUAGAGCACUGUUUCGGCUAGGGGGCCAUCCCGGCUUACCAACCCGAUGCAAACUGCGAA
RNAcentral lists this ribosomal RNA (914 nucleotides) under Pantoea sp. Its description in RNAcentral is "partial 23S ribosomal RNA". It matches the Rfam family "Bacterial large subunit ribosomal RNA", at positions 1 to 960 of the family's 2925-position model. Lineage: Bacteria; Pseudomonadati; Pseudomonadota; Gammaproteobacteria; Enterobacterales; Erwiniaceae. The record is from RNAcentral. RNAcentral also lists the same sequence under 1 other name.